GACGAACGCUGGCGGCGUGCUUAACACAUGCAAGUCGAACGGAAAGGCCCUGCUUUUGUGGGGUGCUCGAGUGACGAACGGGUGAGUAACACGUGAGUAACCUGCCCUUGACUUUGGGAUAACUUCAGGAAACUGGGGCUAAUACCGGAUAGGAGCUCCUGCUGCAUGGUGGGGGUUGGAAAGUUUCGGCGGUUGGGGAUGGACUCGCGGCUUAUCAGCUUGUUGGUGGGGUAGUGGCUUACCAAGGCUUUGACGGGUAGCCGGCCUGAGAGGGUGACCGGCCACAUUGGGACUGAGAUACGGCCCAGACUCCUACGGGAGGCAGCAGUGGGGAAUAUUGCACAAUGGGCGGAAGCCUGAUGCAGCAACGCCGCGUGCGGAAUGACGGCCUUCGGGUUGUAAACCGCUUUCGCCUGUGACGAAGCGUGAGUGACGGUAAUGGGUAAAGAAGCACCGGCUAACUACGUG
RNAcentral lists this ribosomal RNA (468 nucleotides) under uncultured bacterium. Its description in RNAcentral is "partial 16S ribosomal RNA". It matches the Rfam family "Bacterial small subunit ribosomal RNA", at positions 28 to 507 of the family's 1533-position model. The record is from RNAcentral.